Molecule: non-coding RNA, 464 nt
Organism: Paramuricea clavata
Lineage: Eukaryota; Metazoa; Cnidaria; Anthozoa; Malacalcyonacea; Plexauridae
Source: the annotation of a GenBank genome assembly
AGGGACGGACCAUUAGAAAAGUGAUGGGGGGGGGCAAAACCAAAAAAAAAAUUUAUUCCCAGAAAAAAAUGAAAAAAACUAACUUUCAAGGCAUAGUGCAAAAAAAAAAUUCCUUGCUGAGAAGAUAGGCCAAGUGGUGUACUGGAGGGAGGGCUCAGGGGAGCUGAGCCCCUUGUUGAAAUUUCAUGUUGACUUGGGGGGCUGCACAUUGGUCAAAUUUAGCAAAAUUUCUCCCACUCGUGCGGGUUCGUAUUGACAGCGGACAUCUUACAGAAAGUGGCCAGUUCUUUGAAAAAUGCAAAAGUUUCAAUUUUACACCGCAAGUCCACUGACAAUAUGAGCCUGCGAGAAAAUUUGCUGAAUGUGACCAGCGUGCUGAGCCCCCCUAUAUUUUGGCACGUUGCAUAAUUGAUAAUCUUAACAACGUGCGAAAACACACACAAAAAAAUACCAGUAAACGAGAA